RNAcentral lists this unclassified non-coding RNA (264 nucleotides) under Hevea brasiliensis (rubber tree). The record is from RNAcentral. Lineage: Eukaryota; Viridiplantae; Streptophyta; Magnoliopsida; Malpighiales; Euphorbiaceae.
GGGGGAGAUGAAAAGGGGUAAUUGCACUUGAGUGGCUUGCUGGAGAGCUGUCGAGGUUAGGGAAGAUAGGAGGUUCGCUGGAGAUGGACACUCAACGCUCAGUGAUUUCUAGUAGUGGCAAAAGGAUGAGGACACGAGAAGAACAUCGAGCGGCACUGGUUGUCUUGUGGUUACAGACGACAAAUAAGACAGAGGAGAUGGGGGGCGGUGAUUUUCUGUAGUGGAGGUUAGGUGCGGUGGUUUCUCUAAGAAGAGAGAAAUUAG